AUCCUUUUGUGGUUCAUAAGUGGAUGAUUGAGUGUUCACACACGUGUGUGACAUGUGCCGCCCUCAAACCUUGUUUUACACUGGCACAUUACCUGUCUGAUG
Small nucleolar RNA from Nannospalax galili (Upper Galilee mountains blind mole rat), 102 nucleotides. RefSeq annotates it as small nucleolar RNA U13. The record is from RefSeq and is a predicted model, not a curated record. Lineage: Eukaryota; Metazoa; Chordata; Mammalia; Rodentia; Spalacidae. The transcript has a single exon.